This 437-nucleotide ribosomal RNA is filed under the name uncultured bacterium. Its description in RNAcentral is "partial 16S ribosomal RNA". It matches the Rfam family "Bacterial small subunit ribosomal RNA", at positions 29 to 507 of the family's 1533-position model. The record is from RNAcentral.
AGCGAACGCUGGCGGCAGGCUUAACACAUGCAAGUCGAGCGGGCAUCCUUGUGGUGUCCGCGGCAGACGGGUGAGUAACGCGUGGGAACGUGCCCUUCGGUUCGGAAUAACUCAGGGAAACUUGAGCUAAUACCGGAUACGUGCGAGAGCAGAAAGGUUUAUCUGCCGAAGGAUCGGCCCGCGUCUGAUUAGCUAGUUGGUGAGGUUAUGGCUCACCAAGGCGACGAUCAGUAGCUGGUCUGAGAGGAUGAUCAGCCACACUGGGACUGAGACACGGCCCAGACUCCUACGGGAGGCAGCAGUGGGGAAUAUUGGGCAAUGGGGGCAACCCUGAUCCAGCCAUGCCGCGUGAGUGAUGACGGCCUUAGGGUUGUAAAGCUCUUUUCUCCGGGACGAUAAUGACGGUACCGGAGGAAUAAGCCCCGGCUAACUUCGUG